This 398-nucleotide long non-coding RNA is filed under the name Macaca nemestrina (pig-tailed macaque). RNAcentral describes it as "lncRNA (ENSMNEG00000046087.1)". Lineage: Eukaryota; Metazoa; Chordata; Mammalia; Primates; Cercopithecidae. The record is from RNAcentral.
GGUGGAUCAACAUUUAAAAAAUUCAACUCUGAAAAUAUUAAAGUGCACGUGGAUAUUUUUUAAAAAGAAAUGCAAAAUAAACAUGAAACUUCAAGGCAACAGACAGAUGCUGCUACAAAGAGACCAAUCAACAACUGCUCAGCAGAGAUACAGAUCUGAAGCACAGAAGUGCAAUAGACACUCCUCAUGCCUUCGCCAGGAGCAUGGAAUUCUUCCCAGAGUCACAGAAGAUGGCACAGCCUGGGGACAAUCGGGAAUCACCUGGAGGAUGGCAGGUAGCACUGUUAUAUUUACUUAAAAAUUUGGCCAGGCAUGGUGGUUCACCCCUGUAAUCCAGCACUUUGGGAGGCCAAGAUGGGAGGAUAGCUUGAAGCCUGGAGUUUGAGACCAGCCUGGGC